UGAAUCUAAUAACCUGUCUUCAUCUGUCGGCCUUGUCACUGAUUUCAAGUCAAGUGCUCAGCCAUGUUCUGCAUUGUCUGAAUGUGCUGCUCAUUUUUGCAGGACAGUUAACUACCAGCAUGUCGAGCCCCAUUUUAUGUUCUCCUACGACAUUCUGAUGAAAUGGAACAAGGAACAAGCCGUGUGAAGAGAUUGGAAAAAUUGAGGCAAAUGCUGGAACCUUUUCUAUUUUUGUUUUGAUGUGUUGCUUUUGAUACUAGAUGACAACAUGUAACUUGCUAUUUUGACAUGCUUCUCAAUGUAAAUAUAAGAUAUAUUUGAUUUUAUGCUGUGGUAAAUGGGCUGAAUAUUUUAGUA
Panicum virgatum (switchgrass) is the source of this 357-nucleotide long non-coding RNA. RefSeq lists it as uncharacterized. The transcript is spliced from 2 exons. The record is from RefSeq and is a predicted model, not a curated record. Lineage: Eukaryota; Viridiplantae; Streptophyta; Magnoliopsida; Poales; Poaceae.